AGGAUUCACCGCCACCCUCCGCCGGGACAAGAGCCGCCUCCGUCCCACAAUGCACCGCGCCCGGCCACUCCGCGGGAGAGUGCCCAUGCGCCGCGGCGGCGGGGCCCGGAUGAGCGGCCCCGCCCAGCUUGGGGCGCGCCUGCGCAGAGGGGAGAGGCCGGCGGCGGCGCCGCGCAUGCGUAGUGGCGCCGGGGCCGCGCGGGGCAGGCCUGUCUUCCGCCGGGUCGCGGCAGGGUGGAGGAGAACCUGUAUGUGCGGGGUACAUUGAGAAGAUGUCGUCGCUCCACAGCCCGGAUGGGUAAUGAGAGAAACCAGGAGCGUUUUCAGCAAUAAUCAAACAGGGAGCGUGCCUAGUCAGGGCUGUCACAGGUAAAAAUGAAGCAAGGCUUAGAAAAAAGAAACAGGAAACUGGAUAGUGGGAAGAAGGAGACUCAUUCGCCAGAUGUGGCCUGCUAGCAGUUUGGGGAAGUGGAUACUGUAGCUGUGAAAUGUAUAAAUGCUGAUGGCAAGAGUUAAUUGUUUCAGGUGUAAUAGUGCUAUGGUGUAAGAAUUCAGCUGCGGUACAUGUUUUAUAUACCUUUAAAAUUAUAUUAAAGGCAUCCCGACAUAGAGGUUGGUUGGGCUUUAGGAAGCAUAAUCCAGAUAUAUGAAAUAGCCAACGUAUGUGUCUUUUCAAAAAAGUGCAUAAAGAAAAAAUGAAAUUUCUGUUGGCUGGCUUCAAAACUUGUAAGCUUUUUUUUGUUUGAGUGGGACAAAAGCCAUCUUUUCUGUGAGGAAGCCUCGGCAUCAAGUGCCCUUCAAACUAGGAGGCUCAGAGCAUAUUUCAUUGGACUAAUUUUAAUAACAUCAAUUUAUUUGGUGUUAAUUCUUUGCCAGAAUUCUAACUCGGGCAUGUAGCUGAGUUCAUUCCUUUUAAGUAGUUUAGAGUAGUCACUUAAGCCAAUGCUAAAGAUAACUUUAUCUGCACCUGAUUGCUUUCACUUUACUGGGCAAUUGCCAAUGUUCGUGUACAGUGAACUGUAUAAGGGAGUUAAUCAGUUAAGUAACCUUUUUUUAAAUAUACUCAUUCACCUUGAGAUUAGAUUUCAGGUGACUGCCAUCUGAUUUGCUGUGCAGAUUGCGUAAGCGUUCAUGCUGAUACAAGGGAAGGCAAGAAGAGCACGGUCAUUUUCAGUUGCAGUAAUAGUUUAGGAGCAUGACUGCAUAAUGUUAGUGUGAAUUUUAAAACACUCAAAACCUGUUUCCUUAGGAAAAAUAUACUUAGUCACCCUGAAAUAAUAAGAAAAUUUUGAGCAUCUUCUGCCCAAGAUUGAAGGGCCUUUUCUCCCCCAAAUGGAUUCACCAAACAAAAGCGCAUGCUUGCUGAAACUCCUUCUUAGGGUUCUGAACAAGCAAAACCAGAACGUUAUAAUGGCAGUAUUAAAAAGAAAUUAACCAUGGCACAUAUUUCUGAACCGUUGCUUCUGACCAAAGCUUCUGUUGAUAUUGCAUCAUUUGAAUCACUAUACAAGCAUGUUACAGCUGUUAUCUUCUAAAUGUGUAUAUAUUUGCAUAUGAGCUUUCCUAAUAAAAUGAAUGCAAUGACUUGUACAUAAAGUUAACUUACUGAAGUCUGCUGGAUGAUGUUUUUUAUGGGCAGACUAAUUAAUGAUUCCUAUAUAAUGGAAAGAAAACUUAAUUAUUUUCAAAAACCAACAAUAUUACUCAAAAGCCAUUAUUUUUAAAGGAAAUUAGUAAACAUUACUACUUAGUUGGAAAUGCUAAAAAUUAGCUUCUGUUGUAGAAUACAGAAAUCACCGAAACCCUUUUUUUUUCCUGCAGAGUAGCCUUUGAAGUGUGCAUAUGUCAUAUGUACGCUGGUGAUUUUGUGUGUUAAGUAAUCCUCCAGGUUAUGCAAGUAUUGUUCACAGUAUAUUUCCAAGUGUGUCUGUCGAUUGACAUUGAAUGGGGAUUGUAUACUGUUAGUAGUAGUGUUGUACAUACAAUCUGUAUUCUCUGGAUAAAUUAGUAAAGGAAUUUUGUGUGUUCGUGUGGAUUUUUUAAUUGCUUUUUUUCCCCACUGUGUCUUUUAAGGUCAGAUGUAUCUUAAAUCCAGGAUUCUCUAUCACUUAAUAGUGGUUGUAAAAUAACCACUUUAACAUACUUCUGGAAAAGAACUGCAUGUCUGUUUCCCAGGGUGAAAGUCAGUAUGCCUUUAUUUUCUGAUUGUACUGUUUGAGCACGACUGUGUACUCCUGCAGGUUUCCUGCCAUUAAAAGUUUGUUUGCAAGA
Aquila chrysaetos chrysaetos is the source of this 2271-nucleotide long non-coding RNA. RefSeq lists it as uncharacterized. NCBI's taxonomy places the organism in Eukaryota, Metazoa, Chordata, Aves, Accipitriformes, Accipitridae. The record is from RefSeq and is a predicted model, not a curated record. The transcript is spliced from 2 exons.